CCCCCGUGAAAUCUAACCUGCGUCUGAAUGAGUCCGCGGCUGCCUGCCGUCCGAGAGGCGACCGCAGCCGUGGACUGAUACG
RNAcentral lists this microRNA precursor (82 nucleotides) under Branchiostoma floridae (Florida lancelet). RNAcentral describes it as "microRNA bfl-mir-2069 precursor". The record is from miRBase by way of RNAcentral. Lineage: Eukaryota; Metazoa; Chordata; Leptocardii; Amphioxiformes; Branchiostomatidae.